Molecule: long non-coding RNA, 173 nt
Organism: Maniola jurtina (meadow brown)
Lineage: Eukaryota; Metazoa; Arthropoda; Insecta; Lepidoptera; Nymphalidae
Exons: 3
Source: RefSeq, a predicted model, not a curated record
ACAAUUACACGUGUAAGUUCUACUCACCCAAGUAGCUUACACGAUUAACUUACGACGAAUUUAGUGAUGUUAACACUCUUAUAAGUGGCAUUUACCUUAGUAAAUUUGUUGUCAAUUAAUUACGUAGCCUACUUAUGUGAGUAAAACUUACAGGUUUGAUCGCGGCGUAAUCA